UGCUCACUGAUCUGGCUCACUAUUGCCG
This 28-nucleotide non-coding RNA is filed under the name Mus musculus (house mouse). Lineage: Eukaryota; Metazoa; Chordata; Mammalia; Rodentia; Muridae. The record is from RNAcentral.